RNAcentral lists this long non-coding RNA (2729 nucleotides) under Triticum aestivum (bread wheat). Its description in RNAcentral is "long non-coding RNA (TAES_LNC007240)". The record is from RNAcentral. Lineage: Eukaryota; Viridiplantae; Streptophyta; Magnoliopsida; Poales; Poaceae.
AAUUAUUUUUAACUUCCUUAACAUCCAACAUAUUUCCAGAAAAAGAUUGUCCUCAGAUAAUCUACACAAUACUAAUCCAUUCUUCUCAGGAUACUUCAGUAAAAUUGUUAGAUCAUAGUCUCAUAGAACAAGAUGUAUGGUUACACGCUCAUCCCUUCUGCUUAUAUGACACAAUCAUCAUUCAACAUUAACUUCACAAGACGACAUUCAACUCUUGAGUCUGACCCAUGAUGCACUUUCUCAAUAGCUCUUUUUUCAACAUGUUAGGACAAUCAGACACACAAGACGGCUGACAAAUCGAAGGCAUGGAAACAACUCUAUCAACUUGCAUCCAAUAUACGCCCACGAUGCCCAAAUGAUCGAAGGCACAAAGAACAUCCAACAAACUGAAGACACGACAUCAACACCAUCAACCUCGGGUAAUAUCCUCAUGUUGUUCUUCACGUGUGUCAGCAUUUGGUCUCAGCUCAACCUUUCUUCUAAUCUUCGAUGUCAAAACUCUUCUGAGACUGAACUGUACACCAUGAUUUUUUUCUAUGCAUCCACACACUGCCAUGACAGUAGUGUGAAAGCUACAAAAAGAAUAACACUAUUGAACACUUACUGAUUUAUAGUGCCAUACCGGAUAACAAUAUUGAUCUCCAGAUGUACUGUAUGUGACACCUUCAUUAUUAGUCUCUAUAUCUCCAAAUGCACAUACAUGUCUGCAGUGGCAAAACACUAUUAAGAAAACUUUAUAUGUCACUGACAAAAUCAAAUUUGCAGAGAUGACAGUCCAACAUACGUCAGCACUAGCAGCUCACCAUACAAAAAGAAAGAAAGAUCAAGCUCUAAACUCAAGGAGCACAAAGCGGACAAGGACUGCAGAGGGAAGAAGAAAUAUGAACACAGAGGCUCCUAAACAAUUGAGAAAGGAUAAUGAUAAAGAAGAUAAGGAAUUGAAGCGUGCAAGAAGCGAAAGCAACAAAAUUAACACUAGAGUCAAUGUUGGAGACAACAACAGAACCACAACCUCAACAAGUACUAAUAGAAAGGCACGGAACUUCGGAAGGCCAACAUACAAAUGCUAAUAUUGCAAAUAUUGCUAUGGUGUGAAGAAAGAUUAAAUUCAACAAAGGAACUACGACACCCUCUUUUGGAAUAUGCUGCAAACAGGGAAAAAUUAAUCUGCCACCACUAAGAGAGCCUCCACCAUACCUCAGAAACCCCUUAAGAAGUGAAGGGCAGGAUUAUAAGGUCAUACAACUCAAUGGUAUCAUUCACAUCGAUGUGAGGAGUUGUGGACAAGUAAAUGAACACUCACAAAGGACAUUCUGUUUUUCGUUUGCAUGGACAAAACUACCACCACAUCGGAACUCUUUUACCUGAAGGUGCAGAUAAACCUCGGUUCACAUAGCUGUACAUCUAUAAUAACAUAAAUUAGGUGGCAAACAGGAUAAGUGCGUCAAGAUGCAAUGAUAAUAAAUCAACAGUGGACCCCAACAUCGUCAAAGAACUGCAAAUAAUUCUCAACGACAACAACAUCCUUGCAACAACAAGCUAGGAAUAUAUUUGCCUAAGGAAGCAUUCUGCCAUGGACAACUGUAUGUGGCAUUAUAAAGAGUGAUAAACAAGGAACGAUUGAAGGUGCUGAAUGAAACUGAAGUUGCCGCAAAGAAUAUUGUUUAUAAAGAGAUAUUCUAAUUUACAAUGUAGUUCAUCAAGUCAACAAAACUAGAAUUUUGCAUAGGCAAUGCAUGUGCAAUUACAUAGAGUCGAUAUAUACAUGUCUGAUCUUUCCACAAAAUAUUACUUUUUUUAUUAGUUAUUUAUUAUCCCUGGAUAUUUUUAUCUCUCUUCUAUCAAAAAUUUGAAGCAUGGAUAUUUUCACAUAGCUACAUACUCCAUCCAUUUCGAAAUAUAAGCCUUUUUAGAGAUUUCAAUACAGACUACAUACAGAUUUAUAUAGACAUAUUUUAGAGUGUAGAUUCACUCAUUUUGCUCCGUAUGUAGUCCAUAUUGGAACCUCUAAAAAAUAUAUUUAGAAAUGGAGGGAGUACUAUAUUUGAUCGUUCUAGAGAAAGUUCACAGAUAAAUUCCACCUAAAUAGCGAUUACUAAUAUCUCUCGCACUAACACUCUCAUCACUCUCACGAAUAGUCUCUCUAACAAAUAGGCAUCAACAUAGCCUCCUCAACCGAAAAAAUGUAUGUGUAUUCACGUAUAUAAAUGUUAACAAGUACAGACAAGACAAUGAGUUAUUGAAAGAUUAUAGGUGUUAUAGGUAGUAGGCAAAACAAUGAAGUAUUGAGCACCUUUUGCUAUAUGGAACUUCAUAUAAUUAAUACGGAUGUGUUGAAGAGACAAUCUAAGAUGAAGAGAUGAUCUAAGUUUGGCAGAAUGUCAACUGGAAAAAAGUUAAUUCCCCAAAACAACGCAAGGUAAGCAAAAAGGCAGGGGGAUAUGAGCAACCUAACAUAAAUUGAGGCAAGUCUUUGCUCGCUUGAUCCUAAAAAAACUCCACGCGCAUAUUGGUCACCACUCUGCAUUUGCCCUUCCCAGCUUCUAAGUAGUACCUCACCAGAGAACACCCUCUGCAUCUGGCGAGCAUGAAAAUUAUGAGUAAGAAGAAACCGUGCAAAGAAAAAAAAAGAAGACAGAGAAAGGUCAGGAGACCAUAAGCAUCUCCUUAUCUCCACCUGAAAAAAUCUCCAUUAGCUGCAGGAAGGGGAUAACAGGAGACCACUAGCC